AGGACGAACGCUGGCGGCGUGCUUAACACAUGCAAGUCGAACGCGCCUUAUUCCUUCGGGAGUAAGGUGAGUGGCGAACGGGUGAGUAACACGUGAGCAACCUGCCCUUGACCCUGGAAUAACAGCUGGAAACAGCUGCUAAUACCGGAUACGACCUCCGAUGGCAUCAUCUGGAGGUGGAAAGCUCCGACGGUCAAGGAUGGGCUCGCGGCCUAUCAGCUUGUUGGUGAGGUAACGGCUCACCAAGGCUUCGACGGGUA
RNAcentral lists this ribosomal RNA (260 nucleotides) under uncultured bacterium. Its description in RNAcentral is "partial small subunit ribosomal RNA". It matches the Rfam family "Bacterial small subunit ribosomal RNA", at positions 26 to 285 of the family's 1533-position model. The record is from RNAcentral.